GAUGAACGCUGGCGGCGUGCCUAAUACAUGCAAGUCGAGCGAACGGACGAGAAGCUUGCUUCUCUGAUGUUAGCGGCGGACGGGUGAGUAACACGUGGAUAACCUACCUAUAAGACUGGGAUAACUUCGGGAAACCGGAGCUACUACCGGCUAAUAUUUUGAACCGCAUGGUUCAAAAGUGAAAGACGGUCUUGCUGUCACUUAUAGAUGGAUCCGCGUUGCAUUAGCUAGUUGGUAAGGUAACGGCUUACCAAGGCAACGAUGCAUAGCCGACCUGAGAGGGUGAUCGGCCACACUGGAACUGAGACACGGUCCAGACUCCUACGGGAGGCAGCAGUAGGGAAUCUUCCGCAAUGGGCGAAAGCCUGACGGAGCAACGCCGCGUGAGUGAUGAAGGUCUUCGGAUCGUAAAACUCUGUUAUUAGGGAAGAACAUAUGUGUAAUUAACUGUGCACAUCUUGACGGUACCUAAUCAGAAAGCCACGGCUAACUACGUG
RNAcentral lists this ribosomal RNA (497 nucleotides) under uncultured bacterium. Its description in RNAcentral is "partial 16S ribosomal RNA". It matches the Rfam family "Bacterial small subunit ribosomal RNA", at positions 28 to 507 of the family's 1533-position model. The record is from RNAcentral.